AACACAUGCAAGUCGAGCGGCAGCGGGAAGUAGCUUGCUACUUUGCCGGCGAGCGGCGGACUUUUGAGUAUGUCUGGGAAACUGCCUGAUGGAGGGGGAUAACUACUGGAAACGGGAGCUAAUACCGCAUAACGUCGCAAGACCAAAGAGGGGGACCUUCGGGCCUCUUGCCAUCAGAUGUGCCCAGAUGGGAUUAGCUAGUAGGUGGGGUAACGGCUCACCCUAGGCGACGAUCCCUAGCUGGUCUGAGAGGAUGACCAGCCACACUGGAACUGAGACACGGUCCAGACUCCUACGGGAGGCAGCAGUGGGGAAUAUUGCACAAUGGGCGCAAGCCUGAUGCAGCCAUGCCGCGUGUAUGAAGAAG
This 367-nucleotide ribosomal RNA is filed under the name Enterobacter sp. B41. RNAcentral's name for it is "bacterial SSU rRNA". It matches the Rfam family "Bacterial small subunit ribosomal RNA", at positions 50 to 413 of the family's 1533-position model. Lineage: Bacteria; Pseudomonadati; Pseudomonadota; Gammaproteobacteria; Enterobacterales; Enterobacteriaceae. The record is from RNAcentral.